This 564-nucleotide ribosomal RNA is filed under the name Trichosporon asahii. RNAcentral describes it as "LSU rRNA". It matches the Rfam family "Eukaryotic large subunit ribosomal RNA", at positions 103 to 656 of the family's 3401-position model. The record is from RNAcentral. Lineage: Eukaryota; Fungi; Basidiomycota; Tremellomycetes; Trichosporonales; Trichosporonaceae.
AAGAGCUCAAAUUUGAAAUCUGGCAGUCUUCGAUUGUCCGAGUUGUAAUCUAUAGAGGCGUUUUCCGUGCCGGACCGUGUCCAAGUCUCCUGGAAAGGAGUAUCAAAGAGGGUGAUAAUCCCGUACUUAACACGACCACCGGUGCUCUGUGAUACGUCUUCUACGAGUCGAGUUGUUUGGGAAUGCAGCUCAAAAUGGGUGGUGAAUUCCAUCUAAAGCUAAAUAUUGGCGAGAGACCGAUAGCGAACAAGUACCGUGAGGGAAAGAUGAAAAGCACUUUGGAAAGAGAGUUAAACAGUACGUGAAAUUGUUGAAAGGGAAACGAUUGAAGUCAGUCGUGUUCUUUGGAUUCAGCCAGUUCUGCUGGUCUACUUCCUUGGAACGGGUCAACAUCAGUUUUGUCCGGUGGAUAAAGGUAGUAGGAAUGUGACUUCUCCGGAAGUGUUAUAGCCUAUUAUCACAUACACUGGGUGAGACUGAGGACUGCAGCUCGCCUUUAUGGCCGGCCUUCGGGCACGUUCGAGCUUAGGAUGUUGACAUAAUGGCUUUAAACGACCCGUCUUG